GCAGAAAGAGGAGGGUCCGCAGUAGAGCACAGCACACAUUUAUAUGGCCAUCUAAAUGAACAGAACUGAAAGACUCAUAAGCAAUGCCUCUUUCACUGAACGUGCCACUGACAGGAGAUGCUGGGCCAUGAAGAAGGCUUGAAACUGGCAGUGCUGCACUGCUCUGCCCUUGUAAUUCCCUUGUGCCAUGUUCCAGGAGCUGGGGAGGUGCUCAGCGACAAACACCACUGUACUGCUUAGUGGAGGAGCAAUCUCUUCUUUCAUGAAAAGCUGGGUAUUCACCUACAUAUCUCAAUUCUUUCCAUGCAUGUCCUUUCUUGCCCUCACCCCCCAAAUUUUGUUGACACAGAAAGCCAGGAAUUUGGUCUUAUGUCUGGGAUUUCUGAAUAGCUAGCAACCUGAGUGGAUGUGCAGUAGUGCAGACCAAGUGAUGUCUGUCCUGAUAACUGGCCAGCACACAUACAAAGAUCAGCUGUACUUGAACUGAAUAAAUAUCUGGAGCAUGUCACACUUACUGUGCAGGUGCCAGUCACCUGAGCAUGUGCCAGGAGAUGCCUGCAUCGCUUUUUCUGCCUGUGUUGUCCUGAGCUGAAAUUAAAGAUGCUGACAUAAACUUUACACAAGAAAAGGUAAAAAAUAUUAAAAUAUCUGACAGAGCCCUGUAAUGUAAAUCAGGAACCUAUCAGGUUUCAGAGGAAGUUCUUUGAGCAUGAAAUAUUCUGGCUACCAUCAAGUCUCUUGGUUUUGUUUUUUUUUCCUCCUUAGGUUUUCAGCCCUGAAUGCUCUCAAAUUAAAAAAUAAGACUAUAGGAAGGAGUGAUCUUCAGUGACAGUUGAAGUAAUGAAAAUUUACAUGUAAAUUUUACAUUGCCAUUGAUUCAGAUGAAUCCAUUACUGCUUCCUGGAGGUCAGACAUUUCACAUGACCCCUACUAUUAGUAUAAAUAACAGAAGAGGCUGAAUUUGUUCAUUGCAACUCAGCUUGUAACUCAGCUUGCAACUGCUGUGAUUUCAUUUCACAUUACAGCGCCUAAGAUGAGCCCUGCUGACUUCUGCAGAGGAAUGAAAAAAGAAAUUAUCCAAGUUUUAUACUGUAUACUACC
This is a long non-coding RNA of Passer domesticus (house sparrow), 1101 nucleotides long. RefSeq lists it as uncharacterized. The transcript has 3 exons. The record is from RefSeq and is a predicted model, not a curated record. Lineage: Eukaryota; Metazoa; Chordata; Aves; Passeriformes; Passeridae.